AACAAACGCUGGCGGCGUGCCUAAUACAUGCAAGUCGAACGGGUAGCAAUACCAGUGGCGCACGGGUGAGGAAUACAUAGAUAAUCUGCCCUCGAGUCGGGGAUAACCAGUCGAAAGAUUGGCUAAUACAGGAUAAGACCACAGGAGCUGAGGAUCUCGGGGUUAAAGGUUUUUCGCUUGAAGAUGAGUCUAUGCGAGAUUAGCUAGUUGGUGAGGCAAUGGCUCACCAAGGCGACGAUCUCUAACUGGUCUUAGAGGAUGAUCAGUCACACUGGAACUGAGACACGGUCCAGACUCCUACGGGAGGCAGCAGUAGGGAAUAUUGCGCAAUGGGGGAAACCCUGACGCAGCGACGCCGCGUGAGUGAUGAAGGCCUUCGGGUCGUAAAGCUCUGUCGUAUGGGAAUAACACAAUGAAUGUACCAUGCAAGAAAGGAUCGGCUAACUUCGUGCCAGCAGCCGCGGUAA
RNAcentral lists this ribosomal RNA (467 nucleotides) under uncultured bacterium. RNAcentral describes it as "partial 16S ribosomal RNA". It matches the Rfam family "Bacterial small subunit ribosomal RNA", at positions 29 to 523 of the family's 1533-position model. The record is from RNAcentral.